UACGAGAGGCGCAAACGUUAUUCGGAAUUACUGGGCUUAAAGAGUUCGUAGGCGGCGCAGAAAGUAGGGUGUGAAAGCCCUCGGCUUAACCGAGGAAUUGCGCUCUAAACUACUGUGCUUGAGGGACCUAGAGGUGAGCGGAACUGAUGGUGGAGCGGUGAAAUGCGUUGAUAUCAUCAGGAACACCGGAGGCGAAGGCGGCUCACUGGGGGUCUUCUGACGCUGAGGAACGAAAGCCAGGGGAGCAAACGGG
RNAcentral lists this ribosomal RNA (253 nucleotides) under uncultured bacterium. Its description in RNAcentral is "partial 16S ribosomal RNA". It matches the Rfam family "Bacterial small subunit ribosomal RNA", at positions 524 to 776 of the family's 1533-position model. The record is from RNAcentral.